This 469-nucleotide ribosomal RNA is filed under the name uncultured bacterium. RNAcentral's name for it is "partial 16S ribosomal RNA". It matches the Rfam family "Bacterial small subunit ribosomal RNA", at positions 28 to 507 of the family's 1533-position model. The record is from RNAcentral.
GACGAACGCUGGCGGCGUGCUUAACACAUGCAAGUCGAACGGAAAGGCCCUGCUUGCAGGGUGCUCGAGUGGCGAACGGGUGAGUAACACGUGGGUGAUCUGCCCCUUACUUUGGGAUAAGCCUGGGAAACUGGGUCUAACACUGGAUAGGACCAUGCUGUAGGUGGUGUGGUGGAAAGUUUAGUUUCGGUAUGGGAUGAGCUCGGGGCCUAUCAGCUUGUUGGUGGGGUAAUGGCCUACCAAGGCGUCGACGGGUAGCCGGCCUGAGAGGGUGGACGGCCACAUUGGGACUGAGAUGCGGGCCAGAAUCCUACGGGCGGCAGCAGUGGGGAAUAUUGCACAAUGGGCGCAAGCCUGAUGCAGCGACGCCGCGUGGGGGAUGACGGCCUUCGGGUUGUAAACUCCUUUCAGCCAUGACGAAGCCCUUGUGGUGACGGUAGUGGUAGAAGAAGCACCGGCUAACUACGUG